CUGGGGGCCCUGCCUAUACAUGCAAGUCGAACGAACUCUGGUAUUGAUUGGUGCUUGCAUCAUGAUUUACAUUUGAGUGAGUGGCGAACUGGUGAGUAACACGUGGGAAACCUGCCCAGAAGCGGGGGAUAACACCUGGAAACAGAUGCUAAUACCGCAUAACAACUUGGACCGCAUGGUCCGAGUUUGAAAGAUGGCUUCGGCUAUCACUUUUGGAUGGUCCCGCGGCGUAUUAGCUAGAUGGUGGGGUAACGGCUCACCAUGGCAAUGAUACGUAGCCGACCUGAGAGGGUAAUCGGCCACAUUGGGACUGAGACACGGCCCAAACUCCUACGGGAGGCAGCAGUAGGGAAUCUUCCACAAUGGACGAAAGUCUGAUGGAGCAACGCCGCGUGAGUGAAGAAGGGUUUCGGCUCGUAAAACUCUGUUGUUAAAGAAGAACAUAUCUGAGAGUAACUGUUCAGGUAUUGACGGUAUUUAACCAGAAAGCCACGGCUAACUACGUGCCAGCAGCCGCGGUAAUACGUAGGUGGCAAGCGUUGUCCGGAUUUAUUGGGCGUAAAGCGAGCGCAGGCGGUUUUUUAAGUCUGAUGUGAAAGCCUUCGGCUCAACCGAAGAAGUGCAUCGGAAACUGGGAAACUUGAGUGCAGAAGAGGACAGUGGAACUCCAUGUGUAGCGGUGAAAUGCGUAGAUAUAUGGAAGAACACCAGUGGCGAAGGCGGCUGUCUGGUCUGUAACUGACGCUGAGGCUCGAAAGUAUGGGUAGCAAACAGGAUUAGAUACCCUGGUAGUCCAUACCGUAAACGAUGAAUGCUAAGUGUUGGAGGGUUUCCGCCCUUCAGUGCUGCAGCUAACGCAUUAAGCAUUCCGCCUGGGGAGUACGGCCGCAAGGCUGAAACUCAAAGGAAUUGACGGGGGCCCGCACAAGCGGUGGAGCAUGUGGUUUAAUUCGAAGCUACGCGAAGAACCUUACCAGGUCUUGACAUACUAUGCAAAUCUAAGAGAUUAGACGUUCCCUUCGGGGACAUGGAUACAGGUGGUGCAUGGUUGUCGUCAGCUCGUGUCGUGAGAUGUUGGGUUAAGUCCCGCAACGAGCGCAACCCUUAUUAUCAGUUGCCAGCAUUAAGUUGGGCACUCUGGUGAGACUGCCGGUGACAAACCGGAGGAAGGUGGGGAUGACGUCAAAUCAUCAUGCCCCUUAUGACCUGGGCUACACACGUGCUACAAUGGAUGGUACAACGAGUUGCGAACUCGCGAGAGUAAGCUAAUCUCUUAAAGCCAUUCUCAGUUCGGAUUGUAGGCUGCAACUCGCCUACAUGAAGUCGGAAUCGCUAGUAAUCGCGGAUCAGCAUGCCGCGGUGAAUACGUUCCCGGGCCUUGUACACACCGCCCGUCACACCAUGAGAGUUUGUAACACCCAAAGUCGGUGGGGUAACCUUUUAGGAACCAGCCGCCUAAGGUGGACCCAA
RNAcentral lists this ribosomal RNA (1470 nucleotides) under Lactiplantibacillus plantarum. RNAcentral describes it as "bacterial SSU rRNA". It matches the Rfam family "Bacterial small subunit ribosomal RNA". The record is from RNAcentral. Lineage: Bacteria; Bacillati; Bacillota; Bacilli; Lactobacillales; Lactobacillaceae.